This 3391-nucleotide ribosomal RNA is filed under the name Drosophila melanogaster (fruit fly). RNAcentral's name for it is "eukaryotic LSU rRNA". The stretch from base 573 to 3391 matches the Rfam family "Eukaryotic large subunit ribosomal RNA", at positions 1 to 2454 of the family's 3401-position model. Lineage: Eukaryota; Metazoa; Arthropoda; Insecta; Diptera; Drosophilidae. The record is from RNAcentral.
ACUCUAAGCGGUGGAUCACUCGGCUCAUGGGUCGAUGAAGAACGCAGCAAACUGUGCGUCAUCGUGUGAACUGCAGGACACAUGAACAUCGACAUUUUGAACGCAUAUCGCAGUCCAUGCUGUUAUGUACUUUAAUUAAUUUUAUAGUGCUGCUUGGACUACAUAUGGUUGAGGGUUGUAAGACUAUGCUAAUUAAGUUGCUUAUAAAUUUUUAUAAGCAUAUGGUAUAUUAUUGGAUAAAUAUAAUAAUUUUUAUUCAUAAUAUUAAAAAAUAAAUGAAAAACAUUAUCUCACAUUUGAAUGUGAAAAACGAAGAGAAAUAUUUUCUUUUUCAAUCAAAUAAUACUGAGAAAUGUCUAGCAUAAAAAAUUGAAAUAUUUUUCAUCUAGAAUUGUCUCUUAUUAAUGAUUCGGAAAUAGAAAAAUCUUGGUUAUGUUAUUAUUCUUCGUUGGUUCGUUAAAAAUGGAUAAAUAAAAACUUUGCAUACAAGAAUUAAUAAAAAUGUUAUAACGAAUUUAAUUAAAUGUUUUAUCAUUAUAUAUAAAGAAUUUAUGGCAAGAUAAAGUUAUAUACAACCUCAACUCAUAUGGGACUACCCCCUGAAUUUAAGCAUAUUAAUUAGGGGAGGAAAAGAAACUAACAAGGAUUUUCUUAGUAGCGGCGAGCGAAAAGAAAACAGUUCAGCACUAAGUCACUUUGUCUAUAUGGCAAAUGUGAGAUGCAGUGUAUGGAGCGUCAAUAUUCUAGUAUGAGAAAUUAACGAUUUAAGUCCUUCUUAAAUGAGGCCAUUUACCCAUAGAGGGUGCCAGGCCCGUAUAACGUUAAUGAUUACUAGAUGAUGUUUCCAAAGAGUCGUGUUGCUUGAUAGUGCAGCACUAAGUGGGUGGUAAACUCCAUCUAAAACUAAAUAUAACCAUGAGACCGAUAGUAAACAAGUACCGUGAGGGAAAGUUGAAAAGAACUCUGAAUAGAGAGUUAAACAGUACGUGAAACUGCUUAGAGGUUAAGCCCGAUGAACCUGAAUAUCCGUUAUGGAAAAUUCAUCAUUAAAAUUGUAAUAUUUAAAUAAUAUUAUGAGAAUAGUGUGCAUUUUUUCCAUAUAAGGACAUUGUAAUCUAUUAGCAUAUACCAAAUUUAUCAUAAAAUAUAACUUAUAGUUUAUUCCAAUUAAAUUGCUUGCAUUUUAACACAGAAUAAAUGUUAUUAAUUUGAUAAAGUGCUGAUAGAUUUAUAUGAUUACAGUGCGUUAAUUUUUCGGAAUUAUAUAAUGGCAUAAUUAUCAUUGAUUUUUGUGUUUAUUAUAUGCACUUGUAUGAUUAACAAUGCGAAAGAUUCAGGAUACCUUCGGGACCCGUCUUGAAACACGGACCAAGGAGUCUAACAUAUGUGCAAGUUAUUGGGAUAUAAACCUAAUAGCGUAAUUAACUUGACUAAUAAUGGGAUUAGUUUUUUAGCUAUUUAUAGCUAAUUAACACAAUCCCGGGGCGUUCUAUAUAGUUAUGUAUAAUGUAUAUUUAUAUUAUUUAUGCCUCUAACUGGAACGUACCUUGAGCAUAUAUGCUGUGACCCGAAAGAUGGUGAACUAUACUUGAUCAGGUUGAAGUCAGGGGAAACCCUGAUGGAAGACCGAAACAGUUCUGACGUGCAAAUCGAUUGUCAGAAUUGAGUAUAGGGGCGAAAGACCAAUCGAACCAUCUAGUAGCUGGUUCCUUCCGAAGUUUCCCUCAGGAUAGCUGGUGCAUUUUAAUAUUAUAUAAAAUAAUCUUAUCUGGUAAAGCGAAUGAUUAGAGGCCUUAGGGUCGAAACGAUCUUAACCUAUUCUCAAACUUUAAAUGGGUAAGAACCUUAACUUUCUUGAUAUGAAGUUCAAGGUUAUGAUAUAAUGUGCCCAGUGGGCCACUUUUGGUAAGCAGAACUGGCGCUGUGGGAUGAACCAAACGUAAUGUUACGGUGCCCAAAUUAACAACUCAUGCAGAUACCAUGAAAGGCGUUGGUUGCUUAAAACAGCAGGACGGUGAUCAUGGAAGUCGAAAUCCGCUAAGGAGUGUGUAACAACUCACCUGCCGAAGCAACUAGCCCUUAAAAUGGAUGGCGCUUAAGUUGUAUACCUAUACAUUACCGCUAAAGUAGAUGAUUUAUAUUACUUGUGAUAUAAAUUUUGAAACUUUAGUGAGUAGGAAGGUACAAUGGUAUGCGUAGAAGUGUUUGGCGUAAGCCUGCAUGGAGCUGCCAUUGGUACAGAUCUUGGUGGUAGUAGCAAAUAAUCGAAUGAGACCUUGGAGGACUGAAGUGGAGAAGGGUUUCGUGUGAACAGUGGUUGAUCACGAGUUAGUCGGUCCUAAGUUCAAGGCGAAAGCCGAAAAUUUUCAAGUAAAACAAAAAUGCCUAACUAUAUAAACAAAGCGAAUUAUAAUACACUUGAAUAAUUUUGAACGAAAGGGAAUACGGUUCCAAUUCCGUAACCUGUUGAGUAUCCGUUUGUUAUUAAAUAUGGGCCUCGUGCUCAUCCUGGCAACAGGAACGACCAUAAAGAAGCCGUCGAGAGAUAUCGGAAGAGUUUUCUUUUCUGUUUUAUAGCCGUACUACCAUGGAAGUCUUUCGCAGAGAGAUAUGGUAGAUGGGCUAGAAGAGCAUGACAUAUACUGUUGUGUCGAUAUUUUCUCCUCGGACCUUGAAAAUUUAUGGUGGGGACACGCAAACUUCUCAACAGGCCGUACCAAUAUCCGCAGCUGGUCUCCAAGGUGAAGAGUCUCUAGUCGAUAGAAUAAUGUAGGUAAGGGAAGUCGGCAAAUUAGAUCCGUAACUUCGGGAUAAGGAUUGGCUCUGAAGAUUGAGAUAGUCGGGCUUGAUUGGGAAACAAUAACAUGGUUUAUGUGCUCGUUCUGGGUAAAUAGAGUUUCUAGCAUUUAUGUUAGUUACUUGUUCCCCGGAUAGUUUAGUUACGUAGCCAAUUGUGGAACUUUCUUGCUAAAAUUUUUAAGAAUACUAUUUGGGUUAAACCAAUUAGUUCUUAUUAAUUAUAACGAUUAUCAAUUAACAAUCAAUUCAGAACUGGCACGGACUUGGGGAAUCCGACUGUCUAAUUAAAACAAAGCAUUGUGAUGGCCCUAGCGGGUGUUGACACAAUGUGAUUUCUGCCCAGUGCUCUGAAUGUCAAAGUGAAGAAAUUCAAGUAAGCGCGGGUCAACGGCGGGAGUAACUAUGACUCUCUUAAGGUAGCCAAAUGCCUCGUCAUCUAAUUAGUGACGCGCAUGAAUGGAUUAACGAGAUUCCUACUGUCCCUAUCUACUAUCUAGCGAAACCACAGCCAAGGGAACGGGCUUGGAAUAAUUAGCGGGGAAAGAAGACCCUUUUGAGCUUGACUCUAAUCUGGCAGUGUAAGGAGACAUAA